AAAAGUCGUAACAAGGUUUCCGUAGGUGAACCUGCGGAAGGAUCAUUAGUGAAUCUAGGAUGUCCAACUUAACUUGGAGUCCGAACUCUCACUUUCUAACCCUGUGCAUCUGUUAAAUUGGACUAGUAGCUCUUGGGAGUGAACCGCCAUUCACUUAUAAACACAAAGUCUAUGAAUGUAAACAAAUUUAUAACAAAACAAAACUUUCAACAACGGAUCUCUUGGCUCUCG
This 231-nucleotide unclassified non-coding RNA is filed under the name Rhodotorula graminis. RNAcentral describes it as "partial internal transcribed spacer region". The stretch from base 1 to 48 matches the Rfam family "Eukaryotic small subunit ribosomal RNA", at positions 1784 to 1831 of the family's 1831-position model. Lineage: Eukaryota; Fungi; Basidiomycota; Microbotryomycetes; Sporidiobolales; Sporidiobolaceae. The record is from RNAcentral.